This 254-nucleotide ribosomal RNA is filed under the name uncultured bacterium. RNAcentral describes it as "partial 16S ribosomal RNA". It matches the Rfam family "Bacterial small subunit ribosomal RNA", at positions 77 to 334 of the family's 1533-position model. The record is from RNAcentral.
CAAACUGAAGAUGGCGACCGGCGCACGGUGAGUAACACGUAUCCAACCUGCCGAUAACUCCGGAAUAGCCUUUCGAAAGAAAGAUUAAUACCGGAUAGUAUACGAAUAUCGCAUGAUAUUUUUAUUAAAGAAUUUCGGUUAUCGAUGGGGAUGCGUUCCAUUAGUUUGUUGGCGGGGUAACGGCCCACCAAGACUACGAUGGAUAGGGGUUCUGAGAGGAAGGUCCCCCACAUUGGAACUGAGACACGGUCCAA